RNAcentral lists this ribosomal RNA (1541 nucleotides) under metagenome. RNAcentral's name for it is "bacterial SSU rRNA". It matches the Rfam family "Bacterial small subunit ribosomal RNA". The record is from RNAcentral.
AGAGUUUGAUUCUGGCUCAGAACGAACGCUGGCAGCGUGGAUUAGGCAUGCAAGUCGAACGGGAAUCUUCGGAUUCAAUCUUUCGAGAGAGAAACCGGGGAGGAGAGUGGCGAAAGGGUGAGUAACGCGUGGAUAACCUGCCCCUGAGUUGAGGAUAACUUACCGAAAGGGAGGCUAAUACUGAAUGUGGUCAAGUUUGCUUCGGCAGUCUUGAUUAAAGGUGGGGACCCUUCGGGGCCUGCCGCUUGGGGAGGGGUCCGCGUGCCAUCAGCUUGUUGGUAGGGUAACGGCCUACCAAGGCUUACGGCUAGCUGGUCUGAGAGGAUGAUCAGCCACACUGGGACUGAGACACUGCCCAGACUCCUACGGGAGGCUGCAGUCGAGGAUCAUUCGCAAUGCGCGAAAGCGUGACGAUGCGACGCUGCGUGGAGGAUGACGGCCUUCGGGUUGUAAACUCCUGUCAUGAGGGAAGAACGAGCGGGCUGUUAAUACCGGUCCGCUGUGACGGUACCUCAAGAGGAAGCCACGGCUAACUCUGUGCCAGCAGCCGCGGUAAUACAGAGGUGGCGAGCGUUGUUCGGAUUUACCGGGCGUAAAGCGUACGUAGGUGGUUUCGUGUGUCGGAUGUGAAAGCCCACGGCUCAACCGUGGAACUGCAUUCGAAACUGCGGGGCUAGAGUACAGGAGGGGAGAGCGGAAUUCUUGGUGUAGCGGUGAAAUGCGUUGAUAUCAAGAAGAACACCGGUGGCGAAGGCGGCUCUCUGGAAUGUUACUGACACUGAGGCACGAAAGCUGGGGGAGCGAACAGGAUUAGAUACCCUGGUAGUCCCAGCCGUAAACGGUGUGCACUUGGUGUUGGCGGAUUUGACCCCGCCAGUGCCGGAGCUAACGCGUUAAGUGCACCGCCUGGGGAGUACGGCCGCAAGGCUAAAACUCAAAGAAAUUGACGGGGGCCCGCACAAGCGGAGGAGCAUGUGGCUUAAUUCGAUGCAACGCGAAGAACCUUACCUGGGCUUGGCAUGGUACUGCACGCCCCGUGAAAGCGGGGUUCCUUCGAGGGUGUACCACAGGUGCUGCAUGGCUGUCGUCAGUUCGUGCCGUGAGGUGUUGGGUUAAGUCCCGCAACGAACGCAACCCCUGUGUUUAGUUGCCACUCCCGGUGAUGAGCCGGGAAGCACUCUAGACAGACUGCCUGUACAAGCAGGAGGAAGGUGGGGACGACGUCAAGUCAGUAUGGCCCUUACGCCCAGGGCUGCACACGUGCUACAAUGGUCGGUACAGAGGGCUGCAAUGCCGCGAGGUGGAGCUAAUCCCCAAAGCCGACCCCAGUUCGGAUUGGAGUCUGCAACUCGACUCCAUGAAGUUGGAUUCGCUAGUAAUGGCGCAUCAGCUACGGCGCCGUGAAUACGUUCCCGGGCCUUGUACACACCGCCCGUCACAUCAUGAAAGCCGUCUGCACCCGAAGUCGCUGAGCCAACCAUUUACUUGGAGGCAGGUGCCGAAGGUGUGGGUGGUGAUUGGGAUGAAGUCGGAACAAGGUA